CGGGUAUAGUUUAGUGGUAAAAGUGUGAAUUCCGUUUCA
RNAcentral lists this transfer RNA (39 nucleotides) under Juniperus sabina var. sabina. RNAcentral's name for it is "partial tRNA-Gly". The record is from RNAcentral. Lineage: Eukaryota; Viridiplantae; Streptophyta; Pinopsida; Cupressales; Cupressaceae.